GGGGAAUAUUGCACAAUGGGGGAAACCCUGAUGCAGCGACGCCGCGUGAGUGAAGAAGUACUUCGGUACGUAAAGCUCUAUCAGCAGGGAAGAAGAUGACGGUACCUGACUAAGAAGCCCCGGCUAACUACGUGCCAGCAGCCGCGGUAAUACGUAGGGGGCAAGCGUUAUCCGGAAUUACUGGGUGUAAAGGGAGCGUAGGUGGCGAAGCAAGUCAGAUGUGAAAGCCCGGGGCUCAACUCCGGGACUGCAUUUGAAACUGUUUUGCUAGAGUGCAGGAGAGGUAAGUGGAAUUCCUAGUGUAGCGGUGAAAUGCGUAGAUAUUAGGAGGAACACCAGUGGCGAAGGCGGCUUACUGGACUGUAACUGACACUGAGGCUCGAAAGCGUGGGGAGCAAAC
This 400-nucleotide ribosomal RNA is filed under the name uncultured bacterium. Its description in RNAcentral is "bacterial SSU rRNA". It matches the Rfam family "Bacterial small subunit ribosomal RNA", at positions 356 to 773 of the family's 1533-position model. The record is from RNAcentral.